Molecule: ribosomal RNA, 454 nt
Filed under: Terrisswalkerius millamilla
Lineage: Eukaryota; Metazoa; Annelida; Clitellata; Crassiclitellata; Megascolecidae
Description: partial 16S ribosomal RNA
Rfam family: Bacterial large subunit ribosomal RNA
Source: RNAcentral
AAAAUAUGGGAUACGUCCUGCCCUGUGAUAUUUCAACGGCCGCGGUAUCCUAACCGUGCAAAGGUAGCAUAAUAACUUGCCUAUUAAUUGUAGGCUAGAAUGAACGGAUAAACGAAAUAAAAGCUGUCUCAAUUAAUCACCUAAAAAUUAUUACUCACAUGAAGAAAAGUGUAUGAGUUCGAAGGACAAGAAGACCCUACAGAGCUUAAUUUAAAUGUAACAUACAGAAACACAGAAUUCAGUUGGGGCGACUACGGAACUAUAAAACAGCCGUAAAAAAUAAGAUAUAUUAAUCAAGGAAUUGACCCUACUAAGAUCACAAAAUAAAGCUACCUUAGGGAUAACAGGCUAAUCCCAUUAAAGAGUCCAUAUCAGUAAUGGGGAUUGGCACCUCGAUGUUGGCUUAGGGUAUCGAUAUAGCGCAAAAGUUAUAUAAAGAUGGUUUGUUCCACCA